UGAAAGCAGAUACUGUUUCUUGUGAUGAC
RNAcentral lists this non-coding RNA (29 nucleotides) under Homo sapiens (human). The record is from RNAcentral. Lineage: Eukaryota; Metazoa; Chordata; Mammalia; Primates; Hominidae.